CAGCAGCCGCGGUAAUACGUAGGGUGCGAGCGUUAAUCGGAAUUACUGGGCGUAAAGCGUGCGCAGGCGGUUUGUUAAGACAGAUGUGAAAUCCCCGGGCUCAACCUGGGAACUGCAUUUGUGACUGGCAAGCUAGAGUGUGGCAGAGGGGGGUGGAAUUCCGCGUGUAGCAGUGAAAUGCGUAGAUAUGCGGAGGAACACCGAUGGCGAGGGCAGCCCCCUGGGCCAACACUGACGCUCAUGCACGAAAGCGUGGGGAGCAAACAGGAUUAGAUACCCGUGUAGUCCCUGUCUCUUAUAC
Molecule: ribosomal RNA, 301 nt
Filed under: uncultured bacterium
Lineage: Bacteria
Description: partial 16S ribosomal RNA
Rfam family: Bacterial small subunit ribosomal RNA
Source: RNAcentral